RNAcentral lists this ribosomal RNA (481 nucleotides) under uncultured bacterium. RNAcentral's name for it is "partial 16S ribosomal RNA". It matches the Rfam family "Bacterial small subunit ribosomal RNA", at positions 28 to 523 of the family's 1533-position model. The record is from RNAcentral.
GACGAACGCUGGCGGCGUGCUUAACACAUGCAAGUCGAACGCUGAAGCCCUUUCGGGGGUGGAUGAGUGGCGAACGGGUGAGUAACACGUGGGUAAUCUGCCCUGCACUCUGGGAUAAGCCUUGGAAACGGGGUCUAAUACCGGAUAGGACACAUCGCCGCAUGGUGUGUGUGUGGAAAGUUCCGGCGGUGCAGGUUGAGCCCGCGGCCUAUCAGCUUGUUGGUGGGGUGAUGGCCUACCAAGGCGACGACGGGUAGCCGGCCUGAGAGGGUGACCGGCUACACUGGGACUGAGACACGGCCCAGAGUCCUACGGGAGGCAGCAGUGGGGAAUCUUGCGCAAUGGGCGAAAGCCUGACGCAGCAACACCGCGUGGGGGAUGACGGCCUUCGGGUUGUAAACCUCUUUCGACCGGGACGAAGGGUGACUGACGGUACCGGUAGAAGAAGCACCGGCUAACUACGUGCCAGCCGCCGCAGUAA